CAGGACAGUAAUAUGCUACAGCAUAUAGCGCUGACGACUGACAAUGAGAAAGUGUUUUGCAUUUGCUCCCUUAGCAUUAUGUCAAGAUGUCUGCUGCGCGCGCUCUCCUUUUGCUGAUAUUCGGAUUUACCAUGCUGAAAUUCAUCUGCUGUUACAGUGAUGGAAGUUUAUUGAUCGAUCAGUGUCAAAGUAUGGAUAUAAAUCAUGGCACAAAUCAACCGCAAGGACAAGAUUCAAACCCUUUCACCGUCGAUCCAGAUAACGUGGUCGUGGACGGUUCGAAAGUAGGAACGAACUUUACAGUGACACUCUCAACUUCUUCAGUUCCAUUUUUUGGCUUUAUGUUGAACGCUCAUAAGUGUGAUGGGGAUAAAUGUCAACCUGCUGGAAUGUUUAGUGUGCUUGACACGACAAAGAGUCUGCUCCUAUGUGGCGUAAGUGCUACUGCACACA
Danio aesculapii is the source of this 453-nucleotide long non-coding RNA. RefSeq lists it as uncharacterized. The transcript is spliced from 3 exons. The record is from RefSeq and is a predicted model, not a curated record. Lineage: Eukaryota; Metazoa; Chordata; Actinopteri; Cypriniformes; Danionidae.